RNAcentral lists this ribosomal RNA (789 nucleotides) under uncultured archaeon. RNAcentral describes it as "bacterial SSU rRNA". It matches the Rfam family "Archaeal small subunit ribosomal RNA", at positions 85 to 879 of the family's 1478-position model. The record is from RNAcentral.
ACGGCUCAGUAACACGUGGACAACCUACCCUAAGGAGGGGGAUAACCCCGGGAAACUGGGGAUAAUACCCCAUAGACUAUGGAUGCUGGAAUGCUUCGUAGUUCAAAGGUCCGCCGCCUUAGGAUGGGUCUGCGGCCGAUUAGGUUGUUGUUGGGGUAACGGCCCAACAAGCCCGUAAUCGGUAUGGGUUGUGGGAGCAAGAGCCCGGAGAUGGAUUCUGAGACACGAAUCCAGGCCCUACGGGGCGCAGCAGGCGCGAAAACUUUACAAUGCGAGAAAUCGUGAUAAGGGAACUCUGAGUGCCCGUAAAAUCGGGCUGUCCAUCUGUUUAAAUAACAGGUGAAGAAAGGGCCGGGCAAGACCGGUGCCAGCCGCCGCGGUAAUACCGGCGGCUCGAGUGGUGGCCACUAUUACUGGGCUUAAAGCGUCCGUAGCUGGUCUGUUAAGUCUCUGGGGAAAUCUUCCGGCUCAACCGGAAGGCGUCUCAGGGAUACUGGCAGACUAGGGACCGGGAGAGGUGAGAGGUACUCCAGGGGUAGGAGUGAAAUCCUGUAAUCCUUGGGGGACCACCUGUGGCGAAGGCGUCUCACCAGAACGGCUCCGACAGUGAGGGACGAAAGCUGGGGGAGCAAACCGGAUUAGAUACCCGGGUAGUCCCAGCCGUAAACGAUGCGCGUUAGGUGUAUCGGUGACCACGAGUCACCGAGGUGCCGAAGAGAAAUCGUGAAACGCGCCGCCUGGGAAGUACGGUCGCAAGGCUGAAACUUAAAGGAAUUGGCGGGGGAGCAC